GCCGGGUAUGGUGAUGCAUGCCUGUAAUCCCGGUGGCUCGGGAGGCUGAGGCAGGAGGAUUGCAAGUUCAAAGCAACUCAAUGAGACCCUGUCUAUA
This 97-nucleotide small RNA is filed under the name Marmota monax (woodchuck). Lineage: Eukaryota; Metazoa; Chordata; Mammalia; Rodentia; Sciuridae. The record is from RNAcentral.